GUAGCAAAUCUCAAACCCUUUCACCAUCUCUGGACUUCCACUGAAACAGACUUGCUUGGUCCUCCUCCACUACCAGCAGCAUUCUAUAAAUCAUAGCACCUAUUCCUGCAUGCAUGCUUCGAAGCUCUGAGGGAACAAGCCCAGAGGAUUCUAGGUCACAUCAAAGAAGGUUGUUUAGAGAGUGAGGCCAAGAGGCCAUGCCUGCCGCUUCAGGAGAUGGAAGAAAUGACAAGAACUCCAAAGGGUACCACACAGCCUAGGUGUGCCUCUCCCCGAACCAGGGAGCAUUAGCAAAGAAAAACGUCAUUUCUUCCUGACAUUUCAACCCCUGGAGGAGAAGGAGACACGGACUGUAAAGGAAACAUUGACUGUACACUGAACAUACUUCACUGGCCACUUGGGAGGAGUAACUUUGCCAGUUCGCAGCAUGUGGGAUCAGCAGCCGGCUGCAAUCCUGUCCAGUUCAGACUCAUCCACAACCAGCCACAAGAAUGCUGUUUUCUCCCAGAGGGCUCAGACUCCAGAGAAUCAGCACUUCCAUCAAGGUCUGCAGGGUUCUUUCCAUGGAAGACAUUUGAAGAAAACGAU
This is a long non-coding RNA of Lagopus muta (rock ptarmigan), 588 nucleotides long. RefSeq lists it as uncharacterized. The transcript is spliced from 5 exons. Lineage: Eukaryota; Metazoa; Chordata; Aves; Galliformes; Phasianidae. The record is from RefSeq and is a predicted model, not a curated record.